AUAGUGAGCUCACUGCUGCUGGAGCCGGAGGACUGCGCGGCAGCCGUGGCCUACUGCCUGCCGCGCGAGGCGCUGUGGCUGCUGACCAGGGCUGGGCACCUGGUGCGCGCCAACGCGGCGCGCUGCCCCAUGAGCGUGCUGCACCGCGUGUGCCCGCCGCCGCCCCCUGCGCCGCAGCCUUGCUGUCUGCACCUGUACAGCCACCUCACGGAUCUCGGAGGCGCCUUGUCCUCCUGGGAGAUCGUGCGCCAGCACUGGGGCGAGUUGCGCUGCAGCGCUGUGGCCUGCGCCUGGAAGAACAAGAACCGGUGGGUGCGGGAGCCGGCGAGGGUCUGGCGGGCGGAAGGAGCGGCAGGGUCCGCGCCGACAGGCUCUUCCCACUCGCAGGUACCUGCCAGUGGUGGGGCACACGGACGGCACGCUGUCGGUGCUGGAGUGGCUCUCGUCGAAGACUGUCUUCCAAACGGAGGCGCACAGCCCGGGCCCGGUUGUCGCCAUCGCAUCCACCUGGAACAGCAUCGUGUCUUCGGGUCAGUAGCUCCCCUGCCAAAGGCCAGGCCGCCACAGAGCCCCCUCUUCUCCGACAAGGCCCAGCCAGAUUCCGCUGCCCACAGGUGGGGACCUGACAGUGAAGAUGUGGCGCGUCUUCCCCUAUGCCGAGGAGAGCCUGAGCCUGCUGCGCACCUUCUCCUGCUGCUACCCGGCCGUGGCGCUCUGUGCGCUAGGCAGACGCGUCACCGCGGGCUUUGAGGACCCAGAGAGCGCUACCUACGGCCUGGUGCAGUUUGGCCUGGGCGACAGUCCGCGAUUAGACCACCGGCCCCAGGACGACCCCACGGACCACAUCACUGGUGAGGGGGCAGCAUGGGCGAAGCCCAGCCACCGCCCGGCUCCGGUUUCUGACCCUGAACCUUGCCCCCAGGCCUGUGCUGCUGCCCCACGCUCAAGCUGUAUGCCUGCUCCAGCCUGGACUGCACCGUUCGCAUCUGGACUGCUGAGAACCGCCUCCUGCGGUAGACUGGGAGGUGGGGAGGGCUGGGGUCUCCUACCUCUGCUCCUCACCAGAGCCCAGUGGCUGGACUGAGUGGAGAAGGCCUUGUCCCUGCUGAGCCUCGAUUGCCCUGGGUGCCUCUCCAGGCUCCUGCAGCUGAAUGGUGCCCCUCAGGCCCUGGCUUUCUGCAGCAACAGUGGAGACCUGGUGUUGGCACUGGGAUCCCGCCUCUGCCUGGUGUCCCAUAGGCUCUACCUGCCUACAUCCUACCUAGUUAAGGUGUGUGGUGACAACAGAGUGAGCAAGGUGGGCCCCCCCUUGCCCACCGUGGGAGGGCAGACCUAGGUUCCCCCAGCCAAGGAUACAGGCUCCUUCCCCUAUUCAGAAGAUGUGCCAGAAGGCCCCAGACGUGGUGGAUGACCCUCCGCUGCCACUGAUGAGCCAGGAGUCACUGACUUCCGCCCAACUGCAGAGGCUCACCAACCUCCAUGGGGCAGCCAGCCUCAGGUCCCAUGCAGGCCUGCCCAGCCCUCCUGGAGGCCCUCCUUUCCCACCCUGGGUGGGGGCCUGGCGGUGUGGGGCCCUCUGGAGUUGAUGCAAGCCUGCCUGAGCCCUGGCGCACCCAUUUGGGGUUGGUCCUUGUCCCAGCCUCUGCCCCAGCCCACUGGCAGGCCACCCAGCAUCCCACCUGUGCCUGAUGCCACCCAGCAUCCCACUUGUGCCUGUCCCUGUUUGCAGCAAGGCCUUGUCUCUCAUCCAUCGUCGGAGGACAACAUCUCAGCACCUGGUACCGAAGGAGGUGGGGUGGGUCCUCCUUAGCUCACCCUGCCCAGGCUCAGGCCCCAGCCCUCAGCCCUGGGGCAGGCCUGGGAUCCCUGUGGUUGCCCGGGCAGCACACAGCAAGGCUCAAGGAAGAGCAGGCUGAUCCCUGAACCUUGACUCAGGACUUGGACACCCUAGUGGCCCGGGACCGAGACCUUCAGCAGUUGAGGCUGGGGCUAGUGGUCCCAGCAGCCCGGCCCCCACCCUCCUGGCAGCAGCGCCAGGAAGGCUUUGACAAUUACCUCCGUCUGAUCUACGGCUCUGGCCUGCUGGGCAUGCAGUCUGGAAGGCAGUCCCAGCAGUGGAGCGGCGGGACCCUCACAGUGGAGAGAGAGACCUGGGAUGUGUGUGCUCUACCCCAAGCUGCCCACUGUCUUGCCUGGGCUGAGGUCAGCACUGCAGCCCAAACAGUGCCAACAGCCCUGUCCCCACAGGACCUGGGAGCCCUGGGCCAGCACUUCUCCCAAUCUUCCCGAGUCACAGUGCCGAUCCCACCCACCCACCAUAGGGUGCACAGCAAGGCAUCCCAGGUGAGGCUUCCCACCCUCCCACAUGCCUGCUGGGCCCCCAUGACCCCUCUGCCACCCUGUAACUCCUCCUAUGCCCCAGCUUCUGGCCCGCUCCUCACUGAGCCACUCCCUGGGCGUCAGUCUGGAUCUGCAGCUGCAGCUGGAGCAGCUCCGAGGGAGGACUACCAUGGCCCUGGACCUGCCAUCCUCCCACUUGCAGUGCAGGAUCCCACUGCUGCCAAAGAGAUGGUCCAAGGAACCUCUCUCUAGCCUCAGGGGCUUCUUUCCUGCCACCGUGCAGCCCCACAAGCCAGGGGCAAGCCAGGAUGCCCUGUGGUUGUGGCGCCCCAGGCCAUCCCAAGCCCAGUGGCAGAGGAAGCUGCUCCAGUGGAUGGGGGAGAAGCCUGGGGAGCAGGAGGAGGAAGACGAGAAGGAAGAGGAGGAGGAGGAGGAAGACGAGGAGCUGGACCGGGCCUCGGCUUCCCUGAGCCCACACUCCAACCAGCAGCUGGAUUCCUGGGAACUGGAGGAUCAGAGUGCUAUGGACUGGACCCAGGAGCCCCGGCGGCGCAGCUGCGAGGCUGCCAGGACCCACCCUCAUCCCUGGCACCGUCAUGGAAGUUUGCUCUUGGAUGAGCAUUAUGGGCAUCUGCCCAAGUUUCUGCAUUUCUUCAUCUACCAGACCUGGUUCAAAAAGUUGUUCCCCAUCUUCAGCCUGCAGGUUGGAGGGAAUUGGGGAUGCCUGAGAAGCAUGGGUUAGGGUGAGGGACGGGAGAAGGUAGGGGCUGGCUUGGGUGUGACAUGGGAGCAGGGCCUCAGCAUGCUACUCUGCAGGCAUACCCGGAGGCGGGCACGGUCGAGGGCCUGGCCACGCUGUUGGUGGCCCUGCUGGAGAAGACCACGUGGGUGGACCGUGUGCACAUCCUGCAGGUGCUACUGAGACUGCUGCCCAACAUGAGCAGUGAUCUCCAAGGCCAGCUGCAGGGCCUGCUCGUACACUUGCUCAACGUGGACCAGCCCCCAAGCCUCCAGGUGUGCCCCUUGUCCUGCCCCCGGUUUUCCUCCCCACCCACUGGCCCUCAGCAAACACAUCCCCCCCGCCUGCCUCAGGACCAGAUGCAGAAGAAGUUUGUGAUGCUGGCGCUGCCGCUGCUCCUGGCCUGUUCCCUGGAGUCCCGGGACGUGGUGCUGGAGCUCAUGUCCUACUUUCUCUACUCUCCGGUGCCCUGCCGGUGAGUCGCGCUCCUGCCCGGCCCUCCCUGCCACUGGGAAGGCCUCUGGACAAGCCACACGCAUCUGUCCCAGGCCAGAGCUCAAGAAGCUGCUGCACAGGCUGGGCCUUCAGGACCCGGAAGGCUUCCUAUUCAAGGAGAUGAUGACCUGGGUCCAGGGCCCAGACCUGGACUCCAAGGCCGGCCUGCGCGCUCGCUGCUGCCAGAAACUGGAGGACAUGAUCCAGCAGCUUCAGGAGACCCCAUCGCAGACGUCAGUGGUCUCCGUGGCACCCACACGCGCCUCCGUGAUACCCUCGGGCAUCUCCUGGUCGCCCUCCAGCAUCUUCGGGAGGCUCUUGCAGGUCUCAGACGUGCCUUUGAUGGUGGUCUCACCUGCGGAGUCGCACUCUUUAGCCCCGGAGCUCCAGGCCCAGCGGACGCUGGCACCCACGCGCAGCUGGCGGACCCCUCAGCUCCGUCUGGGAGUGCUUUCCGAGACGCUGAAGAGCUUCUGCCUGGAGCCCGAGGCCCGCCUGCACCCUGCCGGGCCUGCUCAGCUGCCCGGAGAGCCGCCACCGCUGGAGGAGACCGACUGGUCGCACUCGCAGCUGCUGGACUUGGUCCCCAUCGACGCUCUCAACUUCUUCUGUGAGCAGCUGUGGGCGCAGCAGCGGAGCUCGCUCCAGGAGGAGGCUGCGCACCCACACCCGCACCUGCCAGUGCCCGACACGGUGGCGCCAGUGCCCGACACGGUGGCGCCGGUGCCCGACAUGGUGGUGCCACCUCCACGGGAGCACUGGUACCACCCCAUCCUCCGGCUGCAGGAGGCCAAGGCGCAGAGGUCCGCGAGGUCUGCGAUGAGACUGAGGGGCCCCAUGCCGCCCCGGCUCUGUGCAGGCCGCACCCUGGACGGCCCCAUCCGGACGCUGAAGCUGCCGCUGCCGCGUGUGGAGCCGCAGCCUUUCCCCCUGGACUGGCCCACGCCCCCGCGCCCGCUGCCCCCGCGGCUCCUGCAGCCCGCCCUGCAGCGCUACUUUCUGCCAAUGGACGCGGACCCUGACACCUACAGCUGACCGGGCUGGUGGCCUCAGCCCGCCUGGCUCUGGGGCCUGUCAUUGGUGUUUGGCCAAGGCCUGCGUCGGGAAUAAAGUGCAGAGCAUUU
RNAcentral lists this small RNA (4698 nucleotides) under Pongo abelii (Sumatran orangutan). Its description in RNAcentral is "retained intron". Lineage: Eukaryota; Metazoa; Chordata; Mammalia; Primates; Hominidae. The record is from RNAcentral.